AUGGUGCCACACACUCUGGUCCUCAUGUCCCUGUUGCUCUGGGCCUCUGGUGCCAGUGGGGACAUUGUGCUGACCCAGUCUCCAGCCUCUCUGGCUAAGUCUCAAGGAGAAACGGUCACCAUCAACUGCAAGGCCAGCCAGAGUGUGAGCAGCUACUUAAACUGGUACCAGCAGAAACCAGGACAGACUCCUAAGCGACUCAUCUAUAGCGCAACGAACCGGGCAUCUGGGGUCCCUGAUCGGUUCAGUGGCAGUGGGUCUGGGACAGACUUCACUCUCACCAUCACCAACUUCCAGGCUGAAGACGCUGCAGUUUAUUACUGUCUGCAAGGCUAUAAUAAUCCACGCACAAGGCUUCAGCCUCGAACACAAACCUCCCGGGGGCUACAGGCCAGUGAGUCUUCACUGCACCAGCUGCUUUCUUUCUGCUCAGCCCUGAACAUGCACUCUUCCUCUGUCUGCCCCAAGGACCUCAUCUCCUAGCUAAUUCCUCAUAGUAUUUGUAGGUUCCAGGGGAAAAUUAAGGGAUGUAGCUUCUUCUGGAUUUCCUUUUGUGGUAAAAUAUACAAAAAGAAUGCUGUAAAAAUCCCUUCUACGCUUUUUCAGUUUUCAUAUCACAGGAACCUACUUGUUUCACAUGGGUAGGUCACAUGACUGAUUUGGGAAAGGGUCCAGUGAGUUUUCUACCCUGAAAGAUCAGUUCUGUCUUCAUUGUGCCUUCUUGACUCUAGGAAGUUCUCAUUUUAAUUCAUUAUUUUCCUGGACUUUUUACUUUUUCUGCAAUCAACCCUCACAACUCUAACCCGAUAUUAUACCUGGAUCCUUCAUAUUUAAAGUCUCCCUCACAGAAGGUAAUCUUCCUCUCUUACUUUUUUCCUUCCGUGGAUCCUGUUUUCCAGCCAAGCCAUCCUGGUCAAUGUCAAUGAAGGUGUUUUCCUGCUCUAAGCUCCUAUUUCACUGGCCUUUUCUCCCCUCCCCAUGUCUUUCAGUGGCACUCAUUCUUUCAAAGGCCAGUCUCUAACUCAUUAACCCUAUCACCCUAGAAACAUGUGACAGCUUUCCCAUGUUCUAUUUUCAUUAGUUGUCAAUUCCUCUUUAAAUUAAUCCCUUGGGCACCCAAG
Non-coding RNA from Loxodonta africana (African savanna elephant), 1121 nucleotides. The record is from the annotation of a RefSeq genome assembly. Lineage: Eukaryota; Metazoa; Chordata; Mammalia; Proboscidea; Elephantidae.